This 406-nucleotide ribosomal RNA is filed under the name uncultured bacterium. RNAcentral's name for it is "partial 16S ribosomal RNA". It matches the Rfam family "Bacterial small subunit ribosomal RNA", at positions 30 to 526 of the family's 1533-position model. The record is from RNAcentral.
AUUGAACGCUGGCGGCAGGCCUAACACAUGCAAGUCGAACGAGUGGCGGACGGGUGAGUAAUGUCUGGGAAACUGCCCGAUGGAGGGGGAUAACUACUGGAAACGGUAGCUAAUACCGCAUACCAUCGGAUGUGCCCAGAUGGGAGUAGCUGGUAGGUGGGGUGACGGCUCACCUAGGCGACGAUCCCUAGCGGGUCUGAGAGGAUGACCAGCCACACUGGAACUGAGGCACGGUCCCUCCUCCUAGGGGAGGCAGAAGUGGGGAAUAUUGCCCAAUGGGCGCAAGCCUGAUGCAGCCAUGCCGCGUGUAUGAAGAAGGCCUUCGGGUUGUAAAGUACUUUCAGCGAGGAGGCGUUACUCGCAGAAGAAGCCCCGGCUAACUCCGUGCCAGCAGCCGCGGUAAUUC